GGGUUGUCACACCAGUUCCCAUUCCGAACACUGAAGUUAAGGGCCCCAUCGCCGAGGGUAGUGCGUCGCUCGGACGUGCGAGAGUAGGACGCCGCCGGCA
Molecule: ribosomal RNA, 100 nt
Filed under: Kiritimatiellia bacterium
Lineage: Bacteria; Pseudomonadati; Kiritimatiellota; Kiritimatiellia
Source: RNAcentral